UGCGCAGGCGGACCGGUAAGUCAGAUGUGAAACCCCGAGGCUUAACCCCGGGACUGCAUUUGAUACUGUCGGUCUUGAGUACGAGAGAGGGAAGCGGAAUCCCAGGUGUAGCGGUGAAAUGCGUAGAUAUCUGGGAGAACACCGGUGGCGAAGGCGGCUUCCUGGCUCGAUACUGACGCUCAUGCACGAAGGCUAGGGGAGCAAACA
RNAcentral lists this ribosomal RNA (207 nucleotides) under uncultured bacterium. RNAcentral's name for it is "partial 16S ribosomal RNA". It matches the Rfam family "Bacterial small subunit ribosomal RNA", at positions 568 to 774 of the family's 1533-position model. The record is from RNAcentral.